RNAcentral lists this ribosomal RNA (465 nucleotides) under uncultured bacterium. Its description in RNAcentral is "partial 16S ribosomal RNA". It matches the Rfam family "Bacterial small subunit ribosomal RNA", at positions 28 to 507 of the family's 1533-position model. The record is from RNAcentral.
GACGAACGCUGGCGGCGUGCUUAACACAUGCAAGUCGAACGGAAAGGCCCCUUUGGGGGUACUCGAGUGGCGAACGGGUGAGUAACACGUGAGUAACCUGCCCUUGACUUCGGGAUAACUUCAGGAAACUGGGGCUAAUACCGGAUAGGAAUCCUUGCUGCAUGGUGGGGGUUGGAAAGCUUCGGCGGUUUUGGAUGGACUCGCGGCGUAUCAGCUUGUUGGUGGGGUAGUGGCUUACCAAGGCUUUGACGGGUAGCCGGCCUGGGAGGGCGACCGGCCACAUUGGGACUGAGAUACGGCCCAGACUCCUACGGGAGGCAGCAGUGGGGAAGAUUGCACAAUGGGCGGAAGUCUGAUGCAGCAACGCCGCGUGCGGGAUGACGGCCUUCGGGUUGUAAACCGCUUUCAGCAGGGGCGAAGCUUGUGGUGACGGUACCUGCAGAAGAAGCACCGGCUAACUACGUG